GAAAGAAAGAAAAGAAAAGGAAAGAAAGAGAGAAAGGUAGGUCUCUGGUGUCUUGAGGGGGGAAACCAUCACUGUUUGUGUUUUAAGAAGGACUGGAAGUUGGGGUAACCAUAACUGGUUUCUUACUAGGGGUCUUUUAAAUGUGUGCUGUCACCUCUUGGCCAUUGGAUCUGUCAUUGAGUAUCUCUGUCUUCUGUAGCUUGGAAUUGCCGUUGGAUUCUUGGUCCCUCCUGUCUUGGUGCCUGACAUCGACAACCAGGCUGAGCUGGCCUACCUCAUCAGCAUCAUGUCUUACAUGACUGCAGGGGUGGCCACUCUGCUUUUCAUCCUUGUCAUGAUUGUGUUCAAGGGGAUCCUAAACAUGCCCCCAGCAGGGCCCAGGUCCCCUCCUGCUUUGUGUUUAAGUUCCAUCAUCUGACUCUUGAAGAACCUCAACUUUGUGCUGCUCCUCAGCUAGGGUCUGAAUGCUGGUGCUUUUUACUCCUUGUCCACUCUGCUGAAUCGCAUGGUGAUCUUGCACUACCCGCUUCUUUAUGACUGGCUACCUCCCUCUGGGAUUUGAGUUUGCCGUGGAGCUGACAUACCCAGAAUCAGAAGGCAUGUCGUCCGGCCUCCUCAACGUGUCUGCCCAGAUAUUCGGGAUCAUCUUCACCAUCUCCCAGGGCCAGAUCAUCGACACCUACGGAACCAUGCCUGGCAACAUCUUCCUGUGUGUGUUCCUCACGCUUGGAGUGGCCCUCACUGGUGAGCUGGGGCCUCAGGGCCCGGUGACGCUCUGACUGCUCACGGCUUUAGGCUGCUGGCAGCUUGGGACCCAGUGUCCUGAUUGGUCCUACAGCUCAGGGGUACACAUGCAGUGGGACAGAGGGGAGGGCUUGUGAGCAAGUCUGUUUUGGAGGCAGCAGCAUAUCUUAGUGGAAGGAGCCUGGGUUGUGGCCCGAGAAACCCUUGUUAGAAUCCUGGACUGUGACACUGACCUCCAGAGCUGUUUGACCUUGGACUAGUGCACCAACUUGUGGGAGCCUCACUUUCCUAAUCUUUUGGAUGGGAUUGCUGUGAGGUUUGGAGCAACGUGUGCAGACUCCCUGCAGAUGCCAGUGGUCUGGGAAGGAGGCCUGUGUCCUCACUGGCUUCUGCCUGUCAGGGACAGCAGGGACCUGCAGGCUCUCUCAGGUUGUCUGACGCAACCCCCACUUCCGUGGAAGAUCUGAAGGGGGUGGGGUACCUGUGAGCCUUAGGAGGACAGGGCUCCCCCUCCUGGAUGCACUUGACCCCUGGUCUGCUUGGUAACUGUCUCUGUUGCCCUUCCUAUCUGCACUUUUGCUUGCUGUGGAUACUUUAUCAGGUCAUUAGUCUCUUACAACAUGCUUUUAGUGACUACCUGGUGUUCUGUUGACUACACAUGGAUAAACAGGAUUUGCUCAACAGUUCUCCUGUUGGCGAACAUUGAAGUUGUUUCUUACGGUUGUUCUAAACGACACUGUGAUUAACGUCCUGGAAGCUGAGUCUUUGGCAUGUUCUCAGAAGCUCCAGGAGGAAGAGGAGAGCAAGACCAGCAAAGCCCCCACCCCUGUGUCCGAGGAGCAUCUCUGAGAGAGAAAGGUGGUGGGACUCGGGCAACACCUGCUGCCACCUCCAGCCAGCCCCGCCCUCCUGGCCAGCACUGCGGGCUCCACUGGAGCAGCUUCUGGAGGGAACCUCGGGAAUAACUGUGGCUUGCACGGCAGCCCCUCUGCCUCAGGGACCCCCCGCCCAGAGCUUGCGUGUCCACUUGGGGACAGUACCCCUUUCACCCAGUGCAGAUGGGCGUCCCACCCCUCCUCCUUGGCUUCUGGGAGCUGGUGCUGGGAGAGGCCAAGAGAACCCAGGGCCAGUCCUGGCCUCCCGCCUUGCCUUCCCCUGGACGGGCUCUCGGGGAAAGCCUGCACAGUUAUCACGGAGAGAAAGCUUAUUCGGGAGAUGAACAUUUUCUAGUGUCUUAAGACUCUUAGGCGCCCCAUUCUAAGGAGCGGCAGCUGCCCCGGGCAGGGGUCCCUCUUGGACCAUCAGACUGGCUGCUCAAGUUUUGUUGUAGUCAGGAGGGGAAGGGCCCUCCCAGAACAAAGGGAAGGUAACACGCAACACCAACAUCUGUGCAUGCAUGAGCAGUUCUGCAACAGUGCAGCAUUGUGGGGAGCCGAGAAGAUAAAAGGAGCCGAGCAGGGGAGCUUGCCUGAACGGUGCAAUUCCGAGGGCAGGCUCCUAAUCAAAAAAUGGGCCUGCCUGAGCCAUGUAGUUCCAAGGGCAAGCUCCUAAUCAGGAAAAGGGGCCUGCCUGCACGGCGCAAUUCCGAGGACAGACCCCAGAAGACAGUGAGGCUCACCCGCUGACCUUGGUGGGGAACUGAAUUUUCCAGGAAACAAUUUCCAUUUUGCGUUGCUGAGUGGGGAUUGUUCCAUGGAUGA
Molecule: non-coding RNA, 2444 nt
Organism: Sus scrofa (pig)
Lineage: Eukaryota; Metazoa; Chordata; Mammalia; Artiodactyla; Suidae
Source: RefSeq, a predicted model, not a curated record